Long non-coding RNA from Macrobrachium nipponense, 369 nucleotides. RefSeq lists it as uncharacterized. The transcript is spliced from 3 exons. The record is from RefSeq and is a predicted model, not a curated record. NCBI's taxonomy places the organism in Eukaryota, Metazoa, Arthropoda, Malacostraca, Decapoda, Palaemonidae.
ACCACAACUACUAUUCGUCAGUCGUCACCUUGCGUAAUCUACUUUAUAAAUUACUUAUAGAUCUCUGAACCCAUAUUCUAGCUGACACAUCAUGCCAAGAGAACAGGGAGAGAAAACGACCGCAUUCCCCGGCAAGGAAGAACGUUAUUUGUGCUGGAAUUCCAGAGAUGAAUUUUUUGGAAAUGCAUCGAUUCUGGUGGAACGGCCGAGAGCUGCAAGGAGCUAAGGAAACUGUACGAAGAACAUUGCCAUCGACUUGGGUCAAACACUUUGACAGGAAGCACAAAUACGAGAAGUUCAAGGAACUGAUGAAGGAAGGUUAUGAACCUUUAAACGACAAAGAGAAGAGUUGAUAGAUUUCCGAGUGGU